This is a non-coding RNA of Myotis lucifugus (little brown bat), 109 nucleotides long. The record is from Rfam. NCBI's taxonomy places the organism in Eukaryota, Metazoa, Chordata, Mammalia, Chiroptera, Vespertilionidae.
GUUCUCACCUCGGCAGCAUGUAUACUAAAAUUGUGACCAUACAGAGAAGAUUAGCAUGGCCCCUGAAAAUUUAUGAAGCGUUUCAUUUUUUUAAGUAUAUUAAUUUUUU